Manis pentadactyla (Chinese pangolin) is the source of this 5282-nucleotide RNA transcript. It is a transcript of the gene named small integral membrane protein 3, with no coding region annotated. The record is from RefSeq and is a predicted model, not a curated record. Lineage: Eukaryota; Metazoa; Chordata; Mammalia; Pholidota; Manidae. The transcript has 4 exons.
CUCGGGGCGGCGAUUCCCGGCGGGGGCGGCUUCCCGCUGCCGGAGCCCGUGCCGCCCCUGAGAACGGGAGGAGCGCUCGAGCUCGCUCUGCCCUAGGACUUCCCGCGGACCCGGCGCCCCCCGGCUGCGGCCGUGGGUUUGAAAAGCGGCUCUGCGGAUCCGGGAGUGAAGCAGCAUGGAUGCUGUCAGCCAGGUCCCCAUGGAAGUCGUGCUCCCCAAGCACAUCCUGGAUAUCUGGGUCAUUGUCCUCAUCAUCCUGGCCACCAUUGUCAUCAUGACCUCCCUGUUGCUCUGCCCGGCCACUGUGGUCAUCAUCUAUCGCAUGCGGACUCACCGUGUCCUCAGCGGGGCUGUCUGAGAAUCUCCCAAGAGGGGCAGUUCUGGUUUCAGAAACUGUGGAGGUAACAUAAAGUGCAUCCAGUCAGCCUCUCCGAGGAGAAGCAAGCAGUCUUCUCUCUACGAGCCCGGCUGCCAGUGUUGCCUGUCCCGUAUUUCCUGCGUCACUCUAGUCCGCCUGCAUCGCAUUCCCCACGAGCAUUUGCUUACAGGGGAAGAUGUUUUGUGUUCUAGGAAUUGAACAGCAACUGGCCAAAGAUUGAUUUGUGGACUCUCUGAACACCAGGGCAGCAGAUUGCUUUUUUUCUUUUUCCAUACUUAUUUUGAAUUUAUGGGAAAUGAGAAGUUAAAUGAACUACAACUUUUCACUUUGUUGCAAGGAGCCUGUCACUUUCAAAAGGGACUAACAUUCUUUUUUGGUGUAAUGGGUUAAGCGGUGGCCCCCCAAAAGAUAUGGCCACUUCCUGAUUCCUGGAACCUGUGAAUGUGAACUUAUUUGGAAAAAAAGGUCUUUGUUGAUGUCAUUUAGUCAGGGGUUUUGAAAUGCAGAGAUCAUUCUGGACUAUAUGGGUAGGCUCUAAAUCCAAUGACACGUGUCCUUAUAAAAGACACAUAGAGAAGAGGAGGGGCAGUGUGAGCAUGGAGCAGAGACGAAGCGAUGUGGCCGCAAGCCUCGGGGUGUCUGGGGCCUCCAAAUGUGAAAGAGCUAUGCAGUGCAUUGUCUCCAGAGCCUUUGGAGGGAACAGAGCCCUGCUGAAACCUUGAUUUCGACUUCUGAUAUCCAAAACUAUGAGAGAAUAAAUUUCCUUUGAUUUAAGCCACUGAAACUGUGGUAAUUUGUUAGAGCAGCCCUAGGAAACUGAUACACUUGGUAAGCUGAUGUGGGAUGAUGAAGUUUUUCCACAACUGCAUGAGUGGACUAAGAAUUCUAAAAAAUAAACAUUAUUGGAUGAGGGGAGAUAACAUAAAACACUUUAGAAAAGAAAAGGAAAAGGGGGGAAAAAAGAGAAGAUUAAGGUUGGUAGCUAGAAUGUGAACUAAGGCAGAAGACUGAAAAGCUUUGCUGGGUGUCUGAGAAGAGCACAAACUGAGGAGGAGGACAGAUAAUAUGCAUCCAUUUUUUUACAGUGUCAGAGAGUUACUUUGUCUUCUCAUGUUCGGUUCAUAUUCUUGUGUGUAUGUGUAUAAUUAAGUAUUUUAUACCAGAAACAGCCCCUCAGAGAAAGUCAUUGGAUGAGAUUCAAUCUUUUGAUUAUAUACCCAUUAUUCACAUUAUUUCUGUUCAUUUGAAGGGGAGCAGAAUAUGUGACCCCAAAAUAUGCCACUUUGGCAUGUGAAUUACUUUAAGCAGAAGGCAAUCAAGACUCAGCUGAUUAAAGAUAAAGUUUUCUCUCUCUUAACUAUCUCAAAGAAUUUAGAGGGGGCCUGGCCCAGAAAGGGCUGCUUCCAGAGAUAACUCUGACAUGAAUGACCUAUGUGUAUGGCUGGGUUAACAUCCAAUUACCAAGCAGCUGCUCAUCUAAUUGUCCUGUGAAUUACCCUCCUCCCUUUGCAAGUCCCACCUUAACCCAGUCCUUAGCUCAGGAUGCAUAUAAGCCUCAGUUGCCUGUCAUUGAUCUCAUAUUUUUAUGGGGCUCCUAUAUCAUGAAAUUAAACUUGUUUUUCUUCUGUUAAUGUGGUUUGUGUUAAUUUAAUUAUUAGACCAGCCAAAGAACCUAGAAGGGGAAGGAAAAACUUCACUCCCCUACAGAUGGAACUUGAGUGGCUAAAUAAAAAUGAUUAGCUUAAGUGUGGAGACAUACAGAAUUCAGCCAGGACAUUGAGAAGAAAAGAAGAUAAUGGAAAAGAAUGAAAAGUCACCUAGAAAAGAGCCCUAGAAAAGUUCUAGGAGUUGGGGGUUUUCUCUGAGUGCUUAAUACAAGGUCACCCAUACAGAAUAAGGGAGAACUGCAUCCUUUUAAUUUUAGCCAAGAUUUUUUUUUUUAGUCAAGAUUUUAAAAUUCUGAAAAUGGAAUGCAUUCAUUUGCAGUUCUAGAGCAUGAAGUACUAUUUUUGAGAAAAUAUCCUAAGCGUUGUGAAAAAAACACUUCUAUUUAUUUAUUUGUUGGCAAAGGCUAUGAAUUCUUAUCAAUCUAAAGGAAUCUUUAAACUUUGGGAGAGGGUAUGAGGUAGCUCUGCCCUUUGAGAGGAUCUAUUCCUCUCUAGGCUGGUUGUGGCAAAAACAGAUUUUAAUGGUCAGAGAGACCUCAGGCAUCCAGAGCUACAUGUAGAAUAGAGGCUCAGGACACCUAAGAAAAGAUCCAAGAAUUAUGUGAGGAGUUCUUACCACAAUAAUAAUAAUAGUCAAAAAAUAAAAGAGUGGCCUCAUUGCGUAGUCCUGACUGACUAAAUCAUUGGCCAUUGGUGGAAUCAGCCUCCAGCCCCCUGCCCUUGGGUGGGGUCCAAAAGUCUCUCAUUAACAUGACAAGACACCUGUUUCACCUCUGAGACUGCAGUGUUUUCAGGAACUGGGGAUGAAGACUGAACAUACCUGGGAAAUAUAUAUUUGGUCAUAUGAGUGACCAAAUAUGUAUUUCUUAUAACUCAUUAUAUCACAAGUUAUAUAUCAACUGUACAACUAUAUAAUACUAAAAAAAAAAACAAGGACAAGAGCGAGUGAAAGAGAGAGAAGGAUAGAAGAGUUAACAAAAUAGCAAACAAUAUACACUCCCCCAGGUCCGCAUGCAAUUGUUAAAAUUUUGAACUUGAAUAAAUGUUUUUAUUUAAAAAUUCUUCAAGGAGAUCUCUAUACUCUUCAUAACUAGUUGGAAGGCUCAGUUUAAGUUAUUGGUUCUAGAUUUGACCAGUGAUAACUCUUGCAAGUGUCCUUUUGACCUGUCUCCACAAUUCUCUGUGCAUCUCUUUACGUCCUGAUCCAAGGAACUGUCCUGGGUUCACCUUACCCUUUCCCUGCCCUGGACUUGGCAUCAGCCAUUUCUCCAAGGAGCCUUGAUUCCUUUCAGUGGAGUCUGGUCUUUAGAAGGGAUUGGGAAGCAAGGUGUGCUCAUUGUUUACUGGAGUUUUGCUGCUUCCUCUCCUCGAUGGACAGAGCUAGUUAAUGUAUAUCUCUAUAUAAACACACAGAUUUACACCUGUGUUUCUAUAUCUACAUGAAAAAAAAUUGUAGAUAUACACUAAUACCUCCAGUUCCAAUCUAACACGAUAGGGUUUAUUCAAAUUUUCUCCUUUUCCAUAUUUGAAACUCCCUUCUCCAAAAGUGAGAAAGCUUAAUGUAUCUAUUUGAUCAGUUCUUUGGCUGUCACCAAUUUCUCAUCACUGCAACAUCCGAAACUCCCCAUGUGCGAUGUCCCCCUCACUGGUUUGGGCUCUGGUAGCCCUAACUAGCCCAUCAUCCCCACCUUGCUUGGGCUGUAACAUCCUGCUCCGGACCACCUCAGAGUCCUCUGGCUGCAUUGUAGUCAUCUGCCUUGCUAAGAUCCUCCAUAGGCCUUUGAUCUAAUCAAGGAAAGGAUACAAGAAGAAUUACCAUUUUAUUUCAAGCUAAUGUUUGCUAAAUGCUAUUUACCAAACUAUAUUAUCUCAUUUUAGUGUCAUUAUGGCCCUGAGAAGUAGAUAUGACUUCUACAAAUUGGAGCUGUCAAGAUCAAAGAAGUUGUGUCAUUUGUCAGUAUCCAUAGCAGUAAGUAGCAGAUACAGGACUGGACCUAUCGGCCUGACUAUAACUACUACUCCUAACCUGGAGGCUGUGCAUAUGAAUAUAUAUUUCAUAUCUUUUCAAUGCAUUGAAAAAGGUGGUUCAAUUUUAAAGUCAAUAGUUUUUAGUAUAUAAAUAUUUGGGGUAUAUGAAUUCUCAAAUAAUUAGGUACUUUGAAAAGAUUGUACAUAAAGAAAAUGUUCUUUCUUUAAUGAUGGCAUUAAGGAUUUGUAAAGGUAUUUUAUAAUUUACACCAUUUCAUUUCAUAAUCUUUAUCUAUUCUGUUUUAAGGCAUACUUUAGUGGUUAAACUUUUAUGUACUGAAUCAUUUUCAAUAUGCCUUUUCAUAAUUUAGGGAAAAAAUAUGAGGAAAGAGUUCUUAGGCUGUUUGUCUUUUGCUAAUAAUGGUGAGCCAUUGCAUGCACUAGUUUCUGAAAGAAAAACAAGAAGGAUGACUUAGAAGAGGCUAGAUUUUUAACCUUAGUUACAGAUCCAUUAUGAUUUCCUUGUCAACUUUACAGAAACUUGACAAGUUUCCUGCCUAAUCAAACUAUUCUAAAUUGUAAUGGAAAAGCCUACUCUUUCUCCCUUACUUGUUUUCACAUAUUCCCACCGCCUUGCACGGAGGCCUCUGAAAUUCCUAAACUAUUGGCUAGCUUUGGUACUGCCUACUGUAUGCCAGGCACUGUUAGGGAAUUUACUGACAUUAUAUCAUUUAAACCUCUUAGUAACCUGUUAGGUGAAUAUUAUUUUACAGAUGAGAAAAUUAGAAUGUAACAGUAAGCAUGUAUUUAGCACCUCUUGUAUGUGAGGGGUUAGCUAUUUGUUCUGUGCAAAUUGUCACAUUUAAAUCUCACAACUAUUUUCAUAUGCUAUGGCUCUAUUUUUUGGUCCCCUCCCUGUUUCUGACCCGCAGAUAAGGGAGGGGAUGCUAUGAGUUAUCGAAGAUCUGAAGGAACCAGCCAGGGGACUCAAGGCGUAACAGCUCUAGAGUGGUGCCGAGAGGGCACCUCUCAUAUUAAUUGACUAAAUGGUUGUUAACAACAAUAAAAUUCUGUAUAGGGGACUCAGUGCACAAUCUUUAAUCAAGUCCAACUCUCAACAGACUCCAAUCUUCUGAAGCAUAACGAACAAGUUCUUACAUAGGGAACAAUGCAAGGGCACUUGUAUCACAGAAACUGUUUCUGUUUUGACCAUGAAUCAUGAACUAUAAACAAUCAAGUCAGAUAUGAUUAUUCAUAUGAUUUUUAUA